This 565-nucleotide ribosomal RNA is filed under the name Physocyclus mexicanus. Its description in RNAcentral is "partial 18S ribosomal RNA". The stretch from base 87 to 565 matches the Rfam family "Eukaryotic small subunit ribosomal RNA", at positions 1 to 457 of the family's 1831-position model. The record is from RNAcentral. Lineage: Eukaryota; Metazoa; Arthropoda; Arachnida; Araneae; Pholcidae.
GGGCGGCGGGUUCCGACUUCCAUGGCCACCGUCCUGCUGUCUAUAGCAACCAACACCUUUCAUGGGGUCUCGUGAGCGUCUCCCCCUACCUGGUUGAACCUGCCAGUAGUCAUAUGCUUGUCUCAAAGAUUAAGCCAUGCAUGUCUAAGUACACGCCGAAACAUGGCGAAACCGCGAAUGGCUCAUUAAAUCAGUUAUGGUUCCUUAGAUCGUACCUCCCUACUUGGAUAACUGUGGCAAUUCCAGAGCUAAUACAUGCAGCAGAGCUCCGACCCCCCGGGGGACGAGCGCUUUUAUUAGACCAAGACCAGCGCGGGCCUCCUCCUCGGAGGGGUCCGGCGAAGCGUGGCGACUCUGUAUAACUUUGGGCUGAUCGCACGGGCCCGUCCCGGCGACGCAUCUUUCAAGUGUCUGCCUUAUCAACUGUCGAUGGUAGGUCACGCGCCUACCAUGGUCGUAACGGGUGACGGGGAAUCAGGGUUCGAUUCCGGAGAGGGAGCCUGAGAAACGGCUACCACAUCCAAGGAAGGCAGCAGGCGCGCAAAUUACCCACUCCCGGCCGUCC